RNAcentral lists this ribosomal RNA (492 nucleotides) under uncultured bacterium. RNAcentral's name for it is "partial 16S ribosomal RNA". It matches the Rfam family "Bacterial small subunit ribosomal RNA", at positions 28 to 507 of the family's 1533-position model. The record is from RNAcentral.
GACGAACGCUGGCGGCGUGCUUAACAUAUGCAAGUGGAGCGACGAACCAGGGCUUGCCCUGGGGCAGAGCCGCGAACGGGUGAGUAACACGUGGGUAACGUGCCCCGAUGACUGGGACAACCCGGGGAAACCCGGGCUAAUACCGGAUGUGCCCCCUCACAUCAGUGAGGUGUGUAAAGGAAGCUUCGGCCUCCGCAUCGGGAUCGGCCCGCGGCCCAUUAGCUUGUUGGUGAGGUAACGGCUCACCAAGGCUGCGAUGGGUAGCUGGUCUGAGAGGACGAUCAGCCACACUGGGACUGAGACACGGCCCAGACUCCUACGGGAGGCAGCAGUGGGGAAUCUUGCGCAAUGCGCGAAAGCGUGACGCAGCAACGCCGCGUGGGGGAAGACGGCCUUCGGGUUGUAAACCCCUUUCAGUUGGGACGAAGGUCGGGCGGUUAACAGCCGUUCCGGCUGACGGUACCUUCACAAGAAGCCCCGGCUAACUACGUG